CUGAGUCAUUGGAGAGGCGAGGAGUCGUUUCCAGGCUCUGGGAUGUGGGCCUGGAGCAAGGCUGACUGACAGCACGGCCUGACAGCCAGUCCCUGGCUCCUGGACCCAGGGCAUGUGCUCGUCGCCCCUGCCUGCAAGCAGGGCAGAAUCGAACAUGCUGUGUUUGAGGUCUUGUUCCAGUUGCGUGUGACUCUAGUUGAGUCAGGAGCAGACUGUAAGCAGCAGACAGGCCAGGUUCUGCGAUCCUUCCCAGCACACCGGGAACAAGCAGGUUUGUGCUCACAAAUGACCUUGGAUGGGUGGAUCUGGGAAAGGAUGGGUGGGUGGGUGGAUGGAGAUGUAUAGAUGGAUAUGUGGCUAAAUACGUGGAUGGGAGGAGGGCGGGAGGAUACAUGGACGGAUAAGGAAAUGUGUGGGUGGGUAGAUGGGUAGGUGGUUGGGAGGAUGGAUAGUGGAUGAAUGGAUGUGGGUAGGUAAGAUAUGAAUGAAUGAGUGGGAAGGUAAGUGGAUGGAUGGAUGGCUGAAUGGAUGGGUGGGUGGGUGGAUGGAUGGAUGGAUGUGUGGGUGGAUGGGUGGAUGGAUGGAUGGAUGGGUG
This 595-nucleotide long non-coding RNA is filed under the name Bos indicus x Bos taurus (hybrid cattle). RNAcentral's name for it is "lncRNA (ENSBIXG00005030664.1)". Lineage: Eukaryota; Metazoa; Chordata; Mammalia; Artiodactyla; Bovidae. The record is from RNAcentral.